Molecule: unclassified non-coding RNA, 281 nt
Filed under: uncultured fungus
Lineage: Eukaryota; Fungi
Description: partial contains small subunit ribosomal RNA, internal transcribed spacer 1, and 5.8S ribosomal RNA
Rfam family: Eukaryotic small subunit ribosomal RNA (bases 1-73)
Source: RNAcentral
CCAAACUUGGUCAUUUAGAGGAAGUAAAAGUCGUAACAAGGUUUCCGUAGGUGAACCUGCGGAAGGAUCAUUACAGAGAACUUGCCCCCGGGCAGAUCUCCAACCCGUUGUCUAUCAUGCCCUGUUGCUUUGGCAGGCCCGCCCUCGAGGCCGCCGGCUCCGGCUGGCCAGCGCCUGCCAGAGGAUCACAACUCACAAGUUAGUGUUGUCUGAGUACCAUUCAAUAGUUAAAAACUUUCAACAACGGAUCUCUUGGUUCUGGCAUCGAUGAAGAACGCAGC